AUAUCAAUAAGCGGUGGAAAAGAAACAAACAUGGAUUUCCCUAGUAGCGGCGAGCGAACCGGAACCAGCCCAACUGAGAAUCUCUUCGGAGAAUUGUAGUCUAUAGAUGUACCCUCUGCGGCGGGCGGUGCCCAAGUCCCCUGGAAAGGGGCGUCAGAGAGGGUGAGAACCCCGUCGGCGCCUGCCUUGCCGCUGCACGAGGUGCUUUCGCAGAGUCGGGUUGCUUGGGAAUGCAGCCCUAAUUGGGUGGUAAAUCCCAUCUAAGGCUAAAUACUGGCGAGAGACCGAUAGCGCACAAGUA
Molecule: ribosomal RNA, 301 nt
Filed under: uncultured Stauridium
Lineage: Eukaryota; Viridiplantae; Chlorophyta; Chlorophyceae; Sphaeropleales; Hydrodictyaceae
Description: partial large subunit ribosomal RNA
Rfam family: Eukaryotic large subunit ribosomal RNA
Source: RNAcentral